RNAcentral lists this unclassified non-coding RNA (344 nucleotides) under soil metagenome. Its description in RNAcentral is "partial contains 5.8S ribosomal RNA, internal transcribed spacer 2, and large subunit ribosomal RNA". The stretch from base 1 to 120 matches the Rfam family "5.8S ribosomal RNA", at positions 35 to 154 of the family's 154-position model. The record is from RNAcentral.
GAUGAAGAACGUAGCGAAAUGCGAUAAGUAAUGUGAAUUGCAGAAUUCAGUGAAUCAUCGAAUCUUUGAACGCACAUUGCGCCCGCCAGUAUUCUGGCGGGCAUGCCUGUUCGAGCGUCAUUUCAACCAUCAAGCCCCCGGGCUUGUGUUGGGGACCUGCGGCUGCCGCAGGCCCUGAAAAGCAGUGGCGGGCUCGCUGUCACACCGAGCGUAGUAGCUUACAACCUCGCUUUGGGAGUGCUGCGGGUGCUGGCCGUAAAGCGACCUUUGCGUCUUUAGCACUAGGUUGACCUCGGAUCAGGUAGGAGGACCCGCUGAACUUAAGCAUAUCAAUAAGCGGAGGA